RNAcentral lists this long non-coding RNA (3320 nucleotides) under Prunus dulcis (almond). RNAcentral describes it as "sRNA ncRNA". The record is from RNAcentral. Lineage: Eukaryota; Viridiplantae; Streptophyta; Magnoliopsida; Rosales; Rosaceae.
AAAUUCCUUUUCCGCAAGGCCUAAAGAAAAAUAAGAAGGAUGCACAAUUUUUCAAAUUUCUUGAAAUUUUCAAGAAAUUGCAAAUUACAUGUUCAUUUAGUACAGCACUAGAGCAAAUACCGAGCUAUGGAAAGUUCCUCAAGGACAUCUUAAGCAAAAAGAUAUGUUUGGAAGAUACAGAGACGGUGGAAUUAACGGAGGAGCGUAGUGUAGCAAUACAAAGGCAACUACCACCUAAGCAAAAGAAUCCCAGGAGGUUUUCUAUUCCUUGCACCAUUGGCAUUAUUUCUUUUGAAAGAGCAUUGUGUGAUCUAGGUUCUAGUAUUAAUUUAGUGCCUUUGUCUGUAGCUAAAAAAAAUUAGUUUGGGGAAAAUAAGGAAAACUACUAUUUCUUUGCAGAUGACAGAUAGAUCACUUACAUAUCCUCACAUUAUUCUUGAAGAUGUACUAGUGAAGGUGGAUUGUUUCAUAUUCAAAGCUGAUUCAUAUUUUGGAUAUGGAAGAAGAUGUCAAUACUCAAAUUAUUCUAGGUCGUCCAUUCCUCAUUACGGGAAGAAUGAUAAUUGACGUAGGAAAAGGUUCUUUGAUCCUACGAGAAGCCUAUCAAGAGGUGGAAUUCAAAGUUUUUUAUCCAACCAAGUACCCCAUUGAUUCGGAGUAUUGUUUCCAUUUAGAAGCAAUAGAUCAUGUUGUUCGAAGGCAAUUCAUAUCGGACUAUCCAAAAGAUCCACUAAAAGCAAGUUUUGGUUCAUGAGAUAAAGGUAGGAAAGGAGCCACUCGUUCUCGAAAUGGUGAACUUGUUGGAAACCAAGGUCGUCUCAAGCACCAUUGCAGCACCAACCCUCACUUUGAAAAGAUACUUGGAAGCAAAUUUCAAUCAUCAAAAGGAAACCUUCGCUCUCCAUGAUCCCGGGUGAUAAUGAUUCCAAAAGUCGGGCCGAGGACUAUAAACCAAACGCUUGUUGCGAGGCAACCCAAUUAGGUAUCUUCGUUCCUUUCUUUUCAAUUUUUUUCCUUUAGUUUCCAUCCCUCUAUGCCUUUACUAAUCGUUACAUUCAUCUACUUUAAACAUUGAGGACAAUGCUUAGUUUAGGUUCAGGGAUGUGGAAUUUUGUUGUUUUUGUUGUUAUUUGAGUUUUGAGUCAUAAAGAAAAGAAAAAAAAAACAACUGAUUUUGUGUUCCAAAGAAAGGAUUUUGUGUUUCAAAGAAUUUUUCAACUUUUUCUAGCCCGUAGAUGAUUGCAACAUGUUCCAAAUGUGUUACAGAAGUGGUUCUGGUCAUUAGAUGACUUGCAAACCCAGAAAAUAGCAAAACAACUUAUUAUGUUCUUCUUUUGGUCAGAAUCAAAUUUUUUGCCAUAUUUUUUUUUUGAUGUUUUUCAGGUAAAUUUGAAGGGACCAACAUGUUUGGAAUGGUUAUUAUGAUGAUUUGAAACAUUUUUGGGGGUCUCAAGUGGUUUGCAUGACGUUUUAGGAAGAUUUGAAGCUGAAAAAGUGGCCUAAACCCCAAAAAAGCCCAGCUGAUGUUUGCCCAGAAAUUUGAAGACUUGUCGUCGCUAAAGCAUUUCAGCGAUGGUGUUCAUCAGAUUUUUCAUCGCUGAAGUUUAAUUUUCCAAUCCAAAUCAAUUCAGAUCCAUUCCAUCCUCGAUCAGAGAUUUCUAGGAGCUAUUCCAGUUGUGUCCUCUUCCUUUUGAUGAAAUUUCUUUAUUCUUAAGCAAUUUCUUUAUUCUUUGCCAUGAAAGUUUAGGCAUCAUAAUUAUAGCAUUUCACUUAGCCAUGCUUUAAGUAUUUUGAUGGACAAGGUAGCUAUACUUGGACGAUUGUGGAGAAAUAAUGGAGACUACCCUUGUGAGAUGCUGGGGCCAAAUUGCCAUUUCUUAAGAGGGUAUUUGGGAUUAUUCUUAUUCACUAUUUUCUUUCUUUCUUAUUUAGAUUGAUCUCAAUUAGGCUUUUGAAUUGAAUACUAAGAACUAAUCUCUUUUUGUAGGAAUCAUCCUAUGCUUUCACUUUUGAAUUCGAUGGACCUUGAGAGAUGAUGUUAGGCUACGCAUGUUCUAACCACUAAAUAAGCCUUUUGUCCUACUUUUGUGUGUGCCAUUACCCCUUUGAAGCCAAACACUUAGCCUUUUCUUUCACCACCCACAAUAUUUCCUUACCAUUUUCACCUUAUUUUUAGCCAUACCCUAUAACUUGGGAGAUGCCAUGGCACAUGAAAACAAGAAUGAAGGUUAAGCUCUACAUCAACAAAAGAGGUAGCGUGUGCCGAGGAAAUAUGUGCUUAAAGUUCAAGGAAAAAAAAAAGAAAAAAAAGAGAGAAAUAUAUUCAACAACAAAAAGUGAAGCAUAUCAAAAAUUCUGGACGCCUUUGUGAAGUAAAAUUGAAGAGCCAAGCCGUAUAACACGGUAAAUGUCUUCGUAUGUCUGAAGUUGUAGUAUUUCCUAUCAUUUCUUUCAUAACGCAUAACCUAGCCCUACAUUACAACCAUAAUAAAGACUAAACAAAUCUUUGGAGGUAUGCAUCUUAUUUAUGGUUCUUAGUAUUUGAUUUUCUUUCCAUGAGAUCUAUUUCCAGAAAUUGCCUUUUAUUCAUUUUGGAUGCAUAUGUGUCUUGAGUGCUAUCCAGUGAGGCCUACAGUCGAGGCGAAUUUGUACACACACCGAGUAUGGUUAUCUUUAAGGUAGAAUGCUUGGGGUAUUGGCUUUACACUUUACACUAUGGUGCAUUUUAUUUAUAGUGGCAUAACUUUAGUUUUGAAAUUGGGAUUAGCAUUCAUUGGUUAUUAUUAGUUUGUUGGAAGUAUUGCUUUAACGAAUUUGCUUUCCAAGGAGCGUUUGUGGGUGUCAUGACUGCUAAACCCUCAUGAGACACAACUCCUCCUACUAGGAACACCUAAAUGUUUAAAGGCUUGUGGCACAUGCUAAGUGCCAUGAUAUUACUUGAGAAAGUGGUUUACUUUAGUUUGUUUGUUGUAUAUUAUUUUUUAUUUUUAGUUUUGCUCGAGGACUAGCAAAAAAUAGGUAUAGGGGUAUUUGAUAAGCCUAUAUUUUAUAUAUAUUUUAUGCCUCCUUUACUUAUUUAUUUGUUAAUUUUCUUGGAUUAAAUUGGUUGUUUAAUUUGUUUUGUGAGAUUGGUGAAGGAAUUGUGAAAUAUGAGAAAUUGAGGUAAAAAGGGGCAAGAAGAUGAAGAUUGGAGAUUAAUUAAAAAAGAAGCCAAGUCAUUCCUUUUGUUAAAAAGAGUGUUGUCAAAUUUCCUAGUUCAAGAUUGUUCAAGUCUUACCAAGUCAAAUAAGGAGAAAUAAAGAAGACCUUAUAUUAGAAGG